UGGUAUGAGUCUGCGGACCUUUUUCACUGCCCCAGGAUCUGAGGCCUGAACGCGGCACCCUAGGGGAGACGCACUAAUAGGUUUCCGAUAAUGCUUCUCUCGUCCUCCACUAAGGGCGAGAGCUCCGGCAAAGGAGCCAAUCCCGGUGCAAUAUCCGAGUGAUAGGAUGCAGACUACAAGUCUGGGUUCGCCAGAGAGAAACGAGGUGUUGUUUAAAGAAAUAAAAGGUGACAAACCGGAGGAAGAACUCACUCCAGGAGGCAACCACGCUUCUGACGAUCGGUUAUAUUCUCGCCUCUCCAGUUGAGCUUUGCUAGCAGCCUUCCUCAGGACCUACCAAUAGGAGCUGGAGGAAGACUGGACUAAAAGGAUGAGAGAAGAUUUCCCAUUUACUUCCUGUCUUUCAUGUUUGCUCACAUCACCAUAGCAAGAGUUCUUCAUCGUGGCAGCAGCAGUUGAAUCCAGUGACAGCAGUUGUCUUUAGUCUGCAGAUCUUCCGUGUUCCUGAAAUCAGCCUCAUCAUGUCUCUACAGACACACUAACAAUGGUGGACCAGCAUCCACUCCUCAGAUCUGGGUCCUAGUUCUGGGGGUCUCUUCAAAGAAUCUUUUGUUUUCCCAACUCUAGAGAAGACAGCUGCUUUUGUCAUUACUCUCUCUCAUACUUCAGUUCACCUUUUCCCUUUUUAAUCCUCUUAUAACCAAUUAACAAUUUACAUAAAAUCCUUUAAUUUCUGUGUAGUUCCUGGCUCCUGAAUAUACCCCGACACACCCUUAAGUGUCAGAGGCAAGGGGAGGGAAUCUGUAACCAGAGCCCAGGGGGAGUUGGGACUAUGGAGGAAAGGUUGCCCACUGGCACCAGGGGAGGCUCUGCAGGGAGUAAGUAGACUGAUUUCUCUCUUUUGCCAUCCAAACUCCUGCUGGGCCUGCCAUUGGUCAAUCCAACUUGAGCCAGAAGGCAGGGAUGCACAGUUUAUUCCAUCUGUAGAAGCCCAUCUGCUGGAACACAGAGGUCAGAGACAGAACAUGGAUCUGAGUUUGGGGCAAACACAGAAUAAACCAGUUCAAGGAUUCUUCUAUCAUGACCAAUUUAUAUACUUAGAACUUGGAUCCCAUUGUUUUCUUCCUUAAAUAAUAUGCACCUGUUUUUGCUUGCUGUCUCUCCUGUGCCUUCACCUUUUAUUAACUUUUUAUUAUUUACACAUAGCUUAGUCUCUCAAUUAAAAAAAAAAAAUGCUCCCUCUCCCUCACAUCCCUAUCCAGCUGCCAAUGUCUCUUCCAAAGCUGACUUCGUGGGAGACUCAGUUACACCCCCUGCCUAUGUUUCAUCACCUCCAAGUUAAGUUCAACCCACUACAGCAAGGCUUUCACCCCUGCUAUUCCUGUGGUUUCAUUAUUGACAAAGUCACUAAUGACUUAUUUAUAAAUCCAGAGUGCUUUGCCUUUUUAAUUAUCUUCUGGGCAUCUCUACAUAUCCGUAUUUGUUCUCAUUCUCAUUUUUUUCUCUCUACCUCAAAGAAAGUCUGAGCCUUGCAGCUCUUUCAGCUGUAAUCCAGGUUAUUAACCUGGAGCUCUGAUGGUGUGGGGGAGAGGAAACAUUCUAUAGUCUUAGCAUUAACUCUCAGUCUUUUGGCAGGCCUGUAUCUUGGGGGGUGUGACCUUCAUAAGUGUUUUAUAAGAAUAUAUGUAUUCCCCCUCCUUCCAUACCCCAGACCUCUACUCCUUUCCCUGGCUGCACCAUUUCCAGUUUAUUUCCAGGAAGCUCUGACUCCUGUGGACUAUUUUUCCUCCUUUAGGUGAGACAGGAAGCCUGGAGGAGACUGCAGUGGGAGAAAUUCCCUUCUCCUAACUGGGAUGAGAGUCUGGCAAAGUGUUUUCCACUGGAGAGUAGGCCUUUGUUUUGAAGAAUAUUCUGGGUGUAUUUCAUAAUCAUUAUUCUUCUUCUCUCCUUGCCAGAACUAUAGGAGGAUCUUUCUCAGGUCUUUCCUGCAAGAAUUUGGUGGGCUUUCUGAUGGUAAAGCCCACAAAAGUAUGGGAGCUCCCCUAAGAUUGGCUGCCAGGAGUUUCUCACUCUCUUGGGAGUCUGCACUCUGCCUCCAGCUGGUUGUCAAAGUUACCAUUUAAAUUUUCUCAACAUGAUACUGUCUCAGCUUCCAGGAUCUAUGCAAAUAUGAACAUUGGUUUACAUCUAAAGUGGUGUCAUACAACAAUGGUUAGGGACUUUUGUAAAUAAAUGGAAUUGGGACAGUUGUGUAUACUUUUUAAAAGAAAAAGAGAAAUGACUCCUAGUUCAUACUAUACACAAAAAACUACCCAAGUAGAUCUAAACACGAAAAGCAAAUAAAGCUUCUAAAACUAUGUAGUAAAAAAUUAAUCUUACCCAAAAAGAGGUCUAGCCUUUGCCCUCAGCUAGCUACUGGUAGGUGACUCUAGGCUCUUGGAAUGUCCUCCCUAAUAAGGGUGUCUUUGUUUACCUGGAGUCCUUGACCACCAGAGUGUCAACAGUGUGAUUUAUAAUGGGAACUUGGAGCCACACAGUAUCUGUUCUACCUCUGGAGGGGCUGGAGAUUAAAGAUCAGCCAUAUGAACAAUCAUCUGUGGAGCUCCAAUAAAAUCCCUGAACCCUAUGGCUAAGGUGAGCUUCCUUGACUGGCAGUACAGUAGUUCCCCCUUGUCCACUGUUUUCCUUUUCGUGGUUUUAGUUACCUGCAGUCAACGCAGUCCAAAAAUAUUGAGUGAUAAAUUCCAGAAAUAAACAUAAUUUUUCUAUAUUAUCA
Microcebus murinus (gray mouse lemur) is the source of this 2776-nucleotide long non-coding RNA. RefSeq lists it as uncharacterized. NCBI's taxonomy places the organism in Eukaryota, Metazoa, Chordata, Mammalia, Primates, Cheirogaleidae. The record is from RefSeq and is a predicted model, not a curated record.